AUGGAGCAGGUACCCAGGGCUCGGGAGACACUGGAGUCAGGAUGCUGGGGUUCUGGGGAGGCUCCGAGAUGGGGGUUCUGGGUCCCCCACCUGUGGCUCAUUCUGUCCAGGCUCUGGAGGAGGUGUCGAAACCCCGGGUGUGCAUCUCACUCCUGCCCAAGUCUCUGUCCCCCCCAGUCUGCAGUCCCUUCCUCUGUCACCUCCAUCUCCAUCUCUCCCCCAGGAUUUGGGAACGGGCUGGGAGCCCAGUCAGGCUCUGCAGCUGAAAAUGGCUACGGACCAGGCUUUGCAGCAGGCCUGAAACCCCAGAAGCCAGGAUUCGGGACCAGCAACGGACUGGGAGCCCAGCCAGGUCUGGGAGGGGGUUUGAAGCCGCAGAAGCCAGGUCCCUGCAGUGGUAGGGUCCCUCCACUGCUUCUUGCCAGGCCUCCCACUCCGGGGGUCCCUUCUGAGAAAGAGGGUGGCUGGGGCCUGAAAUCCCAGCCCCCUCCCCCAGUGCAGGACGGCAAUUUCCCAGUACCUUCUCCAGCCAUCCAGUGGGGACCGAAGCCUCCGAAAGCGGGGUACCAGCCUGCGCUCGGCUACAGACCAGGAGUGGAACUGGGCUUCAGCGGUGGCUUUAAGCCCCAGAAAGUCGGUUUUGGUUACAGGAAUGGUGCUCUGGGAGCUGGGCUCUUCCUGGAAGCCCGCCCACAGCCAGGGUUCCCUGGGGCUGAUGGCUUUAGGAAUGGGUUCAGGGGGGAGGAAGCACUGGUGCACCCCGAAGUGGCAGCUCCAGCCCCUGAAGGAAAUGGUCAGGCCAGGGCCCUGAGGGGCUCUCCCUGGCCCUCCCUGCACUCCUGGGGGGCUGCCCUGAAGGCCAGAUAUGGAGCUGGAAAUGCACUUCCAGAGGUCCAGAGCCAGCCAGGACGCUGCCCUCUCGGGAAGUGCUGAGCUCCGCUGAGAUCCACGGCCUGUCCUGAAGGCCUGUGUUGGAGCCUGGUCAGCUAGGCAAGACUGGCCGUACCCUGGGGCUCAGUCUCUGGCCUGGGGGCUCCCGUGGCUGGAAGUGUCAAUAAAGGCAGUGAGCUUCCCUGUCUGUCCCUGUGU
This 1089-nucleotide long non-coding RNA is filed under the name Sus scrofa (pig). RNAcentral's name for it is "lncRNA (ENSSSCG00070026620.1)". The record is from RNAcentral. Lineage: Eukaryota; Metazoa; Chordata; Mammalia; Artiodactyla; Suidae.